GUGGGGAAUAUUGCGCAAUGGGGGCAACCCUGACGCAGCAAUACCGCGUGAGUGAAGAAGGUUUUCGGAUCGUAAAACUCUUUUAUUGGGGAAGAAGAAGUGACGGUACCCAAUGAAGAAGUCCCGGCUAACUACGUGCCAGCAGCCGCGGUAAUACGUAGGGGACAAGCGUUGUCCGGAAUCACUGGGCGUAAAGGGCGCGUAGGCGGUUUUAUAAGUCAGAUGUGAAAGGUACCGGCUCAACCGGUGACGUGCAUUUGAAACUGUAAGACUUGAGUACUGGAGAGGCAAGUGGAAUUCCUAGUGUAGCGGUGAAAUGCGUAGAUAUUAGGAGGAACACCGGUGGCGAAGGCGGCUUGCUGGACAGAUACUGACGCUGAGGUGCGAAAGCGUGGGGAGCGAACAGGAUUAGAAACCCUUGUAGUCC
RNAcentral lists this ribosomal RNA (427 nucleotides) under uncultured bacterium. RNAcentral describes it as "partial 16S ribosomal RNA". It matches the Rfam family "Bacterial small subunit ribosomal RNA", at positions 354 to 796 of the family's 1533-position model. The record is from RNAcentral.